RNAcentral lists this ribosomal RNA (253 nucleotides) under uncultured bacterium. RNAcentral's name for it is "partial 16S ribosomal RNA". It matches the Rfam family "Bacterial small subunit ribosomal RNA", at positions 524 to 776 of the family's 1533-position model. The record is from RNAcentral.
UACGGAGGGGGCUAGCGUUGUUCGGAAUAACUGGGCGUAAAGCGCGCGUAGGCGGAUCAGAAAGUUGGGGGUGAAAUCCCGGGGCUCAACCUCGGAAUGGCCUUCAAAACUCCUGGUCUUGAGUUCGAGAGAGGUGAGUGGAAUUCCGAGUGUAGAGGUGAAAUUCGUAGAUAUUCGGAGGAACACCAGUGGCGAAGGCGGCUCACUGGCUCGACACUGACGCUGAGGUGCGAAAGCGUGGGGAGCAAACAGG